GGACAUAAAUCCCACUCAUGUAGGAAGAGUCCUUUUCCUAGAUAUAUACGUCUCCACUCAUUCAUCACUGAAAAACUAUAAGGAAAACUUUAAAAAGUUCGAGAGAGACACGAAACCUUUAAAACAUAAGAGAGCGACAAGAAAAUAUAUAAAAUUCCUCAAGAAUCAUCUUUUAUAUUAAUUUCAAAUUUGACAUGACGAAGGCCGGUCCCUAUUUGAUGCUGGGGUAGUUGACAAUUGCUAUCUAUACAUGUUUAUCGGAUCUGAUAUCUAGAGAAUAUAUAAAUACACAAAUUAGAUUCCACUAACCUGAAAUUCUUUUACUGUUUUACAGCACUAAGAGUUGACUGCCUCAUAAAGUUGAAAUCAAUUCAGAAAUUUCAGCGUACUGUUCAUAUUGGAUUAAUUACUGAUCAAUAUGGCAAAAAUUUCUUUCCAAAAGAAAAUAUUAAUUACUGUUAAAGAUUUUGCAUAAAAUUGAUAUAUAACAGACACUUUACAAAUGAAAUCAUAAACAAAUGCAGGGACUCAUAGAAGAAGAGAAGUUGAACUCCUUCAACAUUCCUCAAUAUACACCAUCUCCAGCUGAGGUUAAAUCUGAGGUUCUGAAGGAAGGAUCCUUCAUGAUCGAUCGCUUGGAGGUUACUGAAGUGAAUUGGAAUGCGUACCAGAAUGAAUUUGACCUGUCUGAUGCAUUCAAGGAUGGUGGCUACAAUGUUGCAAAGUGCAUGAGGGCUGUGGCUGAGCCAUUGCUUGCCAGCCACUUUGGUGAAGCGAUCAUCGAUGAGGUGUUCCGGAGGUAUAGAGAUAUCGUUGCUAAUCGCAUGUCCAAGGAGAAGACUGAGUUUGUCAAUGUGAUUAUUUCCCUUAUAAAAGGAUAAUCAUCUAAAUUUCUCUAUAUCAAUCAUCCGUGACUGCCCUGAAAAACCCUUGUUCUGAUGAUAAAAUGAUGGCCUUUAUUGUGAUUCAAGGUUAAACUAUUUCUUUGAUCUUCUAGUUGUAUCAGGGUAAAACUAUUUCUUUGAUCUUUUAGAUGCUUCAGGGUAAAAGUAUUCCUUGUAUUGUAUUCGUAGCAUCUUUAUGUAUGAAUUAAUAAAUAAUAAAUAUCAAUCCUUAAUUUCCAAGAGGCCAAUUCCUACUUCCCUAUUAAUUUUGUUUGUCUAUGAUCAAACCCCCAGUAAUAAUCGCUGAGAAAGAUCAGAUGAGGACAGUAGCACAAUUUUCAUAUCAGCUGGCCUUGAUGCUGCUAUAAAUCAUUGAUUUCAUGAAAAUUCGGUAAUUAUAUAUGCCAGUUGGUACAUAUAGUCUCUUCUAUUUAAAUCCUGACACCUAAUCACGUUUUUAAGCAUAACAACUUGUUUAUUAAUUUUGGGUUGAUAACGAUGGGAACAAUGCUAGCUACAUCAAUACCCCAAUUACGGCAUAGACGUCUGUUCAUAGGGGUGUAGUCUAUAAUAAGAUGUACAAAUUAUAUUUCUACCUAAAUUAGCAUGUAUUGGUAGUGGUUGGCUCUCUAUGAUUUAUAGACUUGUAGUUAUCAAUUCAUGAGAAGCCCGAAAUUUUUUUGAGAAAACCAAAAUCUUUUCGUAGACCUCAGGCAUCAAUACAAGAAAGCUCCAAGCUACAAGAGAAGAAGGUGAACAACAGCCCUUGAUCAACAGGUUCAACAGAGCUAACUCAAUUAUAUAAUAUAGAUGAUGGACUUUUAACUGAAACAUGUGAAAUUUGCUGUCUACUUCUUUGUCAUUGAAACGACAAUAGUAACCAAAUUGAAAUCGUUGGAAGCAUGUGUUGCUAACCUUGCGAAUAACCUAUCAAUUAUAGCAUCUCCAAAAUGACUGGCAAGCAACUGUUCUGAAAUAGCUCUUACACAAUUUGCAAGCUUUUGCCCCGUUUCAUACUUGUCCAACACAAGAUCAUUGUCGCUAACGUCGUCGUCAAAAUCCAAAUCAUGGGCCCUGCAUUACUGAGAGAUCGGAUCAAUUCUGGGUCCUAAACAUGUAAUUUAUCUGGUUCCGAUUAAUUCUUAUUCUCCUCCACAAUUUUCCUUUUCUUUUAAUGACUUCUCCUCCACAAUUUUGGUACAAUAUGCGUUGUCCAACACAAAAUCUUUUUUUUUUUUUUUUCUAAAAAUUGCUACCUCUGCUUAGAAAAAGCCUUCCAUAGAAAGAACCUGGUACUCCUAAUAUUGAACAAUGCCCUAAGAGAUCUCCCUUUUCUCUCUUAAGCUUCUCAAGGAAAGCAGGAAGAAACUUGAAGACGUAUUUGGAAAUCAAAUUGGGGUGAUUUCAAAUGCGGUUGUUGGCAAGCAUGUAGAGUCAAAAGAGAAAUUCCAUUGAAAACAAAAUUUAUUUUCCGAUUGUUCUAUUGGAAAUUUGGGAUCCAAUCCUGCUUCACCAGGAUCAAUGAAGGAUUGGAGGUAUAUCGUGCACUAGAGUUAUCUUGUACGAUCCGAUCAUUUAAUUCUCUUUAAAACAAAAACAGAGAUUGACCUGAAAAUGACAUGGAAGCCAUUUUUUGGAAGAUCAUUUAGAAACGCUUGAAACUCAGGUAAUUUCAAUUGUGCUUGUUGGCAUAUCUCAUGAAUAACGCCAUCGAUUUCAGAGACUGUUAAGAAGGUGUUGUGCCCUGAUGAACAGCCCAAGUCUGCCACUUUAACACGAUUUGGAAAAAAGUUGCAGAGUAAGUCUUUGAUAGUAUCUUCUAGGAUUCUCUUUGUCUUCAACAACACUUUUUUCUUAAAGAAUUAUAGCCAACAAAGAGGGAAAAAAUACAACAAAUCAAGUCUAAAGCAGGUAAAGGAAAAAUGAAGGCAUUAGAAAAGAAUAAUGUACUAAAUGUUAAAGAAAGGAAGAGACUCGUCAGCUAGAAUUAUUGGCACAGCUGAUUUCUUUAUCUCCCUUAUUCAUGCAACCAGCACUUGCUUCGCCAACAUCCAUUAUGCAGCGCUCCCAAUGGAAUCUCGUGGUUCUUCUCGUAUUUAAAGAAUUGAAACUUAUUAUUGGCACACAGUAGAAAACAAUACAUCAGAAAUCAAGGACUUUUACAGGUUUGCUAGAUAUUUUUGUCCACGUAUUCAGGGACGAAGUUAGAAUAUUUUCAAAAAGAGAGCCAAAUAGAAAGAGAUAUUAAACGGUUAAAAAUUUUUUUAUAUAUAACUCAAUUAUCAUUCAUCUAAAAAAUUAAAUAAAAUUUAAAAGAUAAUGAACAUAUCAAAAAAUGCAUAUUAAUAGUAAUGAUGGUGUCAUUUAUAUAUACAACUGAAUGAAACUAUAAAAUGAGUCUCUCUCACUCUUUGCGCGCAACAAUGGAAGAGAAAAUAAUUUUUCAAACUUAAAUGAAUUACUUCUUUAUUUUGUGUGUCAUAACUCUUUUCUUAUUUUCUAUUUGCCUCUUAAAUUGCCAAUUAAUAUAUUGAGUUAUUGGAUAAAAUUAUUUAAAUAUAAUAUGUUUUGAUAAGCUAUUAGGUUGGACUACUAAGAUGUAAUAUAUUAUGAUAGACUUAAAUUUAUAUUAAAACUUAAUGGGUUUUGAUUAGUAGACUCACUUUUAUUUUUUAUNAUGGAACUAUUUAAAUAUAAUAUGUUUUGAUAAGCUAUUAGGUUGGACUACUAAGAUGUAAUAUAUUAUGAUAGACUUAAAUUUAAAUUAAAACUUAAUGGGUCUGAAUUGGUAGACUCACUUUUAUUUUUUUAUAAAUUUGAUAGGUUUAAGAUAUUAGUUUAGAAUUUAUUUGUUGGGUUUAAUUAGUAAUAUACUAGCCAUAAUGACUCUAAUUUUAUCAAACAGUAUAAAGAAUAAAAAUAAUUAUUAAACAAAAAAUUAUUUUGAGAGCCAUUAAAAAUAAAUAUAAUAAAUAAAAUUAUAUUGAAAGAAAUAUAAUUAUUUCAUUCUAUCAAUUUAUAUAUAUAUAUAUAUAUUCUUGUUAUUUAAAGUUUGCAACAUACAUACUAAGAUACAUUGGUUAUUCUAAAUAAAAAAUAAUAUAUUGAUAAAAUUUUAAACAGCAAUGCAAUACUGCAACUUAUAUUUAAGAAUUACAUAAUAAUUUAUUUAUUUUUAAAGAUUAAAAUCAUAGAAAAUAAAAUCCACAUAACAAAAAAAGAAGAACAUGAAAAGUAGAAGAUAAAAUCCACAUAUGACAUAAUAAAAAAAAUAUGAUUGAUGUUUGGUAUAAAUUUGUGAGAAAAAAUAUAUUGAGAUGUAUAACAUAUGAAUAAAUAGAAUAUAAAUAAUAAUAAUAAUAUAAAUUAAAAAAAUAAAAAAACUUUAAAAUUGAGUCAAGCAUAUGAAACUAUUUUGUUAUUUUUUAUUUGUAAUAAUUAUUAAAUAAAAAUUUAUUUUGAAUGGGCUAUUAAAAAAAUUUUAAAAUUUUGGAAGGCCAUGAGCAAGCUCCGCCCCUACUCGUAUCCGUAUCUAGAAGCAAGAACAAGGAAGAAACUCAAUCCUUAGAACCAAGGGCAGAGGGUAAGCCAACAAUGGGGGGGCCGUGGCAACCUCAAAAUUUUUAAAAAUAUUUAUUUUAUAUAUAUAUAUUUUAUCAUUGGCCCCCCCCAAAAGUUUUAAAAAUUUUUAUUUAUUAUAUAUUAUUAAUGGGCCACUCAAAAUAAAUUUUUUAUCUAAUAAUUAAUAUAAAUAAAAAAAUCAAACAUCCUCACAAACUUACUUAACUUUACCCUAAUUUAAGUUUCUCUACACCUCUUUUUCUUUUUCUUUUUCUCUUAUCUUUUGUGUCUUUUUAUUUAUAUUUCUCUUUGUUCGUAACUUACCACUAAAACACACCAUAUUCUUCAAAAGAGAUUUAUGAGCUUGUGAGUUUGGAUAAGGAAAGACAGAGAUCACUCACUACCAUUGUGUAAAAUUAAGAAGAGGUAAAGUUUUCUUUUACUUUCUUCUUUCUAUUUAUAUUAUUUAAGAAUUAUGUAAAAUCCUAUAUUUCGUAUUGAAUUAUUUAUAUUUUAUUCAUUAUAGUUUUAUGUUUUAUUUUUCAAGUUUAAAUAUAAAUGAGUAAGAAUAUUGAAUGUUGACUACAUUAUUUUUUUUUUUUAGGUUUGAUUAAAAUAUGAGUAAGUUGAAAAUAAUUGACAAAUUUUUUAAAAGAAAAGACGUAGAUCACUCAAAUGAUUCUCCUACACUUAAGCCACCAAACCUUAAUACUUCAACUCAUGAACUAAAGCAGUGCGAAUCAAAACGUCCAAGGCUCAAUCUUGAAGAAAUUGAUACUUUUCAUUUAAAACCUAACCCUGGAUUAUGACCAAUGAUAUGAGAAUUUCCUAUCAAAGGGAUAAAAUUCAUCGUGCUUAUCUCAAACGUGGGCCAUGUCAAUCCAUCCUUAAGACGUAUCCUUUAUCAGAUGAUGAUCAUCCUCGUCAUUUUCAAGCUUCUUGGUUUAAAUUAUAUCCUUCUUGGUUGGAGUAUUCUUGUGACAAGGACGCUAUAUUUUGUUUGCCAUGCUACUUUUUUGGUAAGAACACCUCGAAUCAUCCAGGUUCAAAUGCAUUUAUUGAAAAGGGUUUCAAAAGUUGGAAGUGUUGGGUGAGGGCUGAUUAUACAUCAAAUGUAAAUAAAACGCAGUGAAAAUAAAUUUAAAAAAAUUAAAUUUACGUCUCAUCCUCCUAGGAUCUCUUUCAUGCUAAAUUGAGUACAGAAUUAAAUUAAAAAUAAAAGUACAUGAUUAGAUCACUUUACCUAAAUAACAAAGGUUGAUGAAUCCUUUGUUAAACCACCAAAUCAGCAUUCGAAAAAACUCAACCACCUCAGCCCCGUUGUUGCAAACCAAAGCUGUCCAAGGAAUCUUUAUGCAGCCUCUAAUGGUGAUCCACACCAAUGAACGAGAAAAUCCUUUUGUAAGGAUUAGAAGUGCUAAGCCUUGACAAUGUGCUAGCAAAGAUGAGUUUCAUAAAUUCAUAAUCCACACAAAAUUGUGGGGCUGAACACACAAAAACGAAGUGAAAUGAAAAACUAUUUUUCUUCACCUAAGGAAUGGCAAGACAAAAGAAUUUCUAAUGUGCCGUUCACUACUUUUUUUUUUCAGCCGUUCUCCACUGCUUUGUUUGGAGGUUAUAGCAAGGUAUUUAUACAUUGGAUUAAUUUUAAACCCUAAUUACAAAACUAUUUUGUAAUUACCAAUUAAUCCAAUAAUUUGAUUAAAUAAUUUAAUUAAGUCUUUAAGAAGCCCAAUUAACUUAAUUGUUUAAUUUAAUCAAUUAGGCUCAAUAACUUAAUUAAAUAAUUUAAUUAAUUAAGCCCAACAAUUUAAUUAAACAAUUUUAAUCAAGUAGGCCUAAUGACUUAAUUAAACAAAUUCAAUCAAUUAGGCCCAAUAAUUUAAUUGUUUAAUUUAAUUAAUUAGGCCCAAUGACUUAAUAAAACAAUUUAAUUAAUUAGGCCCAAUGAUUCAAUUAAACAAUUUAGUUAAUUAGGCACAACUUAAUUAAACAAUUUUAAUCAAGUGCUUGAGAAGCUCAUAACUUUUAAUUUGAUUAAGUCCAACUUAAUCACCUCUCCCAUUUUAUUUUCAACAUUCAUUUUAGGUGUGUGACCCAUUAGGCUUCUAACAUGUUGGCAAUGGACUCAACAUAUAAUUCUUAAGUUAAACUUAGAAUUAGAUAAAUUUAAACUACUUUAAAUUUAUCAUUAAUCAAGCUAACUACCUAAAAUUCAUACACCAAGAUUGAGAUCUAGCAAUCCAUCAUGGCCACCCAAAUGUUAGAAGAGUCAAGAUGGUUUGACUCAACCUUUCAGAGUAAUUCAUUCCCUCAUCAUAUAUCCCGGAGAUGAUAAGAGCAUGGUGUAGUGUCUACUCUUAUUGAUCUCUAUAUUCGUUCUUAAAGUUUGAUCAUCAGCUUUAUAAAGACUUAUGAAACUCCUUUUAUAAACUUUAAGUCACCUUGGCCAAGGACUUCAAUAAGCUAAUAUCAACCAAGGACAGCGAGGAUAUGUCCCCUGCAUCACUUGGGGUGAUGAUUCCUAUCUUGACCACUCAUUUGCCUUCACAUGCUUCAUGCUAUAUCCAAAAGCAUCUUGUUUAGGCAUCCUUGGUUAGGCACCCGUAGUUAUGAAAUCAAAGCAUAGCACUUCACACAUAAGACAACUUGGUGUUCAAGUUUAGGGAGUAUUUAUACAACUAACACAUGAGAAGUAUUGCAUAGACACUUGAGUGAAAUACCAAAUGCACUUCUCAUAACGGGUCAUGUUCAGUGAACUUGCUCUCCUAGGCAAGCACUUACAUUCUAGUUUCAAGUAUCUUUAUACUUCAACCUAUGAGAUCGGUUGCUUAUUUCUCAAGUAAAGAACAUAGAAUGUACUAGUCUUUAAGUAUCAUUGAUGUCCAGUCUCAAUGAUACAUUGACCAGGAAUAUUUUGAUAUUAUGUUUUGAUGCAUAAGGAUCUCAUAACUGCAACCCAUUACAGUUCCCUUGCAAGGCAUAUUAAUCUCAUGGACUUCAUCCAAUUAGACUUAUAACUUGUUAUAAUUAAUGUUUUAUUGAUGAAGGAAAACCUUUAAUCAUUCAACAUGAAUGAUGUUGUUGCAUGAUUGGAAUCAAGCUUUAACCAAUCCCAAUUGGCUGCAAGGCUCAUCUCAAUAGGAAGAAACUAAAUAAUAGAGAAAAUUGUCCACUUUUGAAUCAUGUUGGGAAAAAUUCAAAUUCCUUACAUAAUGUUACUAUAAAAUCUUGUGAGGGUUUAUUGAAAAAAUCCCAACAUAUUGAUAGGCUUAUCAAAAGACAAGCAUCAGAAGAGAUCUUGAAUAAUUGGCUUAGGCUCAAAGCUUCUAUAGAUUGUGUUAGAUGGUUAACUUUUCAAGCUUGUGCAUUUAGAGGUCAUGAUGAAAGUCCAUCCUCAAAAAAUAGAGGAAAUUUCUUUGAAAUGCUGAAAUUCUUAGGAUCUUCAAUGACAAAGUUCGUAAGCUUGUCUUGGAAAAUGCUCCACGGGUUGCUAAGUACACAUCCAAUGAUGUUCAAAAUGAGAUUUUGCAUAUUUUGGCUAAUAUAGUGAGAAAUUCAAUUAAAGAGGAAGUGGAAAAUGCUAAGUUUUGUAUUAUUAUUGAUGAAGCUCGAGAUGAGUCUAAAAAAGAACAAAUGGCUAUUAUUUUAAGAUUUGUUAAUGGUGAUGGUUUUGUUCAAGAAUGUUUCUUUGAUCUUUGUACACGUUAGUGAUACCGAUGCAAUGACUUUGAGGAAAGAGUUAAUGUCUGUUUUUUCUCGUUAUAACCAUCAAGUUGAAAGUAUUCGAGGUCAAGAAUAUGAUGAUGCUAAUAACAUGCGUGGUGAAUGGAAUGGUUUACAAGCUUUGAUACUUAACGAUUGUCCAUACGCAUAUUAUGUGUAUUGUUAUGCUCAUAGAUUACAAUUAGCAUUAGUUGCAGCAUUUAGAGAAGUAGUUCAUGUGCAUGAAUUUUUUACACAGUUGACUUCUAUUGUAAAUAUUGUUAAUGCUUCUUCCAAAAGACAUAGCCAAUUACAAGCUGCUCAAGCAAUUGACAUUGCAAACAUGAUUGCUAGUGAUGAACUUGAAACAAGUAGAAGAGCAAACCAAGUGGGAACUCUACAAAGAGCUGGAGAUACUCGAUGGAGCUCACACUUUCAUUCUAUUUGUAGCUUGAUGAGAAUGUUUGAUGUAACCUGCACUGUAGUGGAAAGUAUUAUUGAUGAAGGGGCCAGUUAUUCAUAAAGAGGUGGUGCUUCUGUUGCUAGUAAAAUAUUAGCAUCAUUUGAAUUUAUUUUUUUAUUACACUUGACGUAUGAGAUCAGGGGAAUCACUAAUGUUCUUUGCCAAGCAUUACAAUUACGCUAUCAAGAUAUUGUAAAUGUAAUUCAUCUUGUUUUUACUACAAAAUCACUCUUUCAGAAGUUGAGAGAUUAUGGGUGGUCUAAUUUGCUUGAGAAUGUGAAAAAAUUUUGUCAAAAACAUGAGAUAGAAAUUCCUGACAUGGGUGCACGAUAUAUCUUAGGCAGAGGUCGAUCUCAUCAACCAAAUGUAACUGUGGAGCAUCAUUAUCGAGUUGAUAUAUUCUUAGUGACGAUAGAUACCCAGUUAUAAGAAUUGAAUUCAAAAUUCAGUGAGCAAGUUGUGGAACUUUUAACUUUAAACACUGCUUUGGAUCCUAAUAACAAUUACAAAUCAUUCAAUAUUGAUAAUAUAUGCAAGUUAGUAGAGAGUUUUUAUUCUCAGGAUUUCACAGAACAAUAAAGACUUAUUUUGAGAUUACAAUUGAGGCAUUACGAGCUCAAUAUAUCUCAUCAUCAAAGUUUUGAAGAUAUUAAGAUACUUUCUGAAUUGUGUCAGAGAUUAGUAGAAACAGAAAAGUCAAAGAAUUAUCACUUGAUUGAUAGAUUAAUUCACUUUAUUUUGACUCUUUUGGUUUCUAUAGUAACUACAGAGAGAGCCUUUUCAGCAAUGAAAAUUGUAAAAAUAAGACUCUAGAAUAAAAUGGAUGACGAAUUUCUUGUAGAUAAUUUAGUUGUUUAUAUUGAGAAAGACAUUGCUAGUCUUUUCAGUACAAAGUCAAUAAUUAAUGAAUUUGAAUUUAAAAAACAUCGUCGAACACAAUUUUUUUAUAUAACUAUUAUAAGUUUUUUUUAGUUUUUUUAUUUGUAUGUUAAAUUAUUAUCUAUUAUGAAUUUUUUAUUCGUUGGUUAAAUUCAAUAUAUUAAUUUUAAAAAUUUUUAAUUUUUAUUUUUUUCAUCUUUGACCCCUAACCAAAAUUAGUUAGUUCCGCCAUUGCUUGGAACAUCUAUAUUUUUGUGGUGGAUUCGUACGCAACUUUUGUAGAAAAUUAUGUUAUAAGCAUGCCAAAUAUUAUAAUACAACAUCAUUUGUCUGGGAUAAUUCAACUGAUUUGACCCUUUUGAUUGAUAUUUAGCUGUGUCUGGGAGUACAGAGGAAUCUCUGCUUUUCACCACAAGAUGAUGGGGGUAGGUUCGACUAAUGAAUGAUUAAUCUACUCCACAACCACGUUUAUCUUGUUUGCUAAGAGAAAUCGAUGUCAAAGAAUUGAGGAAGGCAGAACGAGGACAAGAUUUCAAUAGGUGUGAAUUCAGGACGGAGGGUCAUGUACGGUUCACCUUUUGGUCUUCGGCGAUAUCUACGUUCGUCUUUUUCUCUCUGGGAUAGAGUUUGUCUCGAUUUCAUUAUUUGUUUUAGGGCCUUUAUCCAGAACUCACUUCUGUUUUAGGAGCUAUUCCUGUCGAGGCUGCUGCCAAUUGCUCUUUAAGCAGCUGCUUCUUUUGUAAUUUUACAGAAUAAAUUCUUCCCAAAGCUUGCUUCUAUGCCAAUCAUUAAUAUAUAAAAUUUUAUUUUUUUUAAAAAAAGUAUAUUAUGGGGGGAUGUGGUCUCUAAAUUUUAUUUAUUUAUUAUAUAUAUUUUAAUUUCUCUCUUAAAAUAAUUUUUUUAUUUCUUCAAUAGGAUUGGAGUCAUGGCCAAUGUCACAGGUUGAAACUUACACCUAACCUCAAAUGGCUCCAAAAGACAUGUUUGAUAGGUAGUGAAAGACCCAUAUUUAUAUACUUAAACUCACCUCAUUUCUCACUGAUGUGAGAUCUAUGAUAUUUUACUUCACCUGUGACAUUCUACCUCAACCAUUUGUGCAAUGUUUUCAUUGUACUGGCUUUUUUACCCAUAAAGGAGAAGCGCUUUUACAUUAGUUUGAGUUUAUUUCGACCCUUGUAUCUCUUAUGAGGUUCGACCCUUAUAUCUCUUAUGGGGUUCACACAUCAGUGAAGAUCUAGGUUUGCUUUGAUAACAUUUGUCACAGGUCAAAAUUUAAGCCUAACCUAGCUUGUGGGUCUUAAAUUCUGAAAAUAGAGCUUCAAUAAGCCUAUAAAUCAUAAGUCCGUGUUUCUAACUCAAAAAACAUACCUGAAAGGUGGUGGAAGAUUCAUAUUUAUAUAUCCAAGAUUCAUCUCAUCUCUUAUUGAUGUGGGAUCUGUGACAAUCAGUAUAUUGUUAAUUAAGACUAGUAUAUAAAUUUUAACUCAAUAUGUUAAGCUUAUCAAUUUUUUUUUUAAAAAUAAGAAUGAGUCUACUAACUCAAACCCACUAAGUCUUAAUAUAAAUUUAAAUUUAUCAUAACUUAUUGUAUCCCAAUAGUACAUUUCUCAAGAAACUACCCAUUUUCAUGCAAAACACAUAAAGUAAAUUGGUAAUUCAUUUUAGUUUUUUUUUCACUCUUGCACAUAGAGAGUGAAAAUUGAAUUAAAUAUAAAAUUCUCUUUGACAGUUAAAUGUCUCUUUUUAUUUGACUCUCUAAAAAUGCUUUAGAUCCGCCAUGGGUGUGAUUAGAGGCGGAGGGAGGGGGGGCUAGUAGGGGCCCCCGCCCGCUCCCCCCCUCCCCACCAAAAGCUUAAAAAUUUUAUAAUUUUGUCUUUGUUUUGUUUUAAAAUUUUAUAAUUUUACUCUUUUUUAAAAAAAAUUUAUAAUUUCAUCCCUUUAAAUAUUAAAUUUUUUAUUUUUACCUCCUAAAGUUGCAAAACUUUAUAAUUUUGUCUUUGUUUUGUUUUAAAAAUUUAUAAUUUUACUUUUAUUUUUUAAAAAAUUUUAUAGUUUCAUUCCUCCAAAUAUUAAAAUUUUUUUUUUAUCUCCUCAAAUAUGAAAUCUUGACUUUGUCGGUGGGUGUGAUAUGUAUUUUUUCAAUAGAGGAAUUGGGAUGAAAAAUCCAUUGUUAACUUGAUGAUGAACAUCUUAAGGUCCAAUCAUGCGUAGCAAGGAAGGUGAUCAUUUGAAUCAACUUGAACCUCUGUUUUUGUACAAAUUCCUUUUUUUUCUUUUAAGGUGAAAUAUAAUUUUGUAAAAUUUUUUAAUAUAAAAAAAUAUGAAAUAAAUGAGACUAGACAGAGAAAGAAACAUGGUGAGAGACACCAGCCGCAGCGGGUGAGACAAGAAAGAGAAGAAGGGAGGAAGCCAAUGGGCAAUGAUGUUGGAUGGAGAUCCAUGCGGAAUCGAAAAACCAAAAUGGUCAAGGUAAAAUCUCGUUUAUUGAUCCAAAAAAGACGCAGCAGCUGACAGCAAUGAAAAGGAGGACAAUGGCAAUGAGAGCAAUGUUACAAUGACGCCAUUCACCAUGUGCCUUCUUUAAUGCAAUUCCCCUUCUUGUCCCAUCUGCAUGCAUUUAUAUAAAUGGUUGUCAGGUACGAGUGACAAGAUGAAAUGAAUUUCUAGCAAACCAUAAUCAAGACAGUUCCAGUACGAGUAUUCAGUUUAUCACUAUUACAAGGAAUCUCUUUUUGCAUUUGGAAAUUGAGGGAGGGUGAUGGAAAAUACCCCUAAAUUCAUCGUGUUGAGAGCAGAAGGCAAUAAUUGAUUCAAAAACCCCAAGAACGAAAACGACAAUAACCACGCUUUGCACAGUUUUUCUAUUCUGUGGUUGCAUGAAGCUUGUGGCUGUUAUAUUUCUAGUCUUUAACAGAGAGCAAGUUGUCAAAGAUACUCUGUUAUAAAACUAAAACAGAAAGGCUUUCAAAACUUGAAAGAAAGACUAUCGAUGGUUACAAAAAACUGCAAGUCUACUUCAUUGAUCAGAUUAAAGUACAAGUUAAAUAUGCAGUAGGCAUGAUUAACACUUGUAACAUACUAUAGACACAGGUGUUAUGGCAUAAAGACAACAAACUCAUGCAGCUAUACACGUAGGAGAUGGAAUUAGUAGAAAACAUGCAUGACUAAUGACCACUACAAUGAAGCAAAGUAUAACAAAAGCUUGACAAGUGUACAUUAUCAUGCAAGUAUUAACUUAACAGUGGCCUCGUAGCCAAGGCACAGCCGACUGUUGCAAUACGGGUCUUUCCUUUAAUUGGUCGGAAUGGAAGAUUUAAUUCAUCUGAAAAAUGUUUUUUUUUUUGGAGUGACAUCUGGAAAAUGUUAGUAAUAAAAUGAUCAUGACCCAUCGGCCUGGCGACCUGAGGCAAAUAACAUAUCUAUAAAUAGGGCAUGUAACAUCUCAUUGAGCACACAAAUUUACCAUCAAUUAUCCAGCUUGAGAGGCAGUAAAAGAGAGAUAGAGAUCGAGAUGGAAGUGGUUCAAGUGCUUCACAUGAAAGGAGGAGUUGGAGAAACCAGUUAUGCAAACAACUCCCUGCUUCAGGUUAUUAACUCUCCAGAUAUAUUUACUAGUUUAAAUCACAAAAUCUGUUUACUAAUAUCAGUAUACCCAAGUAUCUUUUGAUCUUGACAAUAUAGAUAGGUAAGUUUGUUGACAUAUUCAUAUUUGGGAAAAUAUCAUAUUUGUCAAAAACUUUUCUAAGAUAUUUUGGCUUGAACUUUGGACAGCAAAAGGUGCUAUCCAUGACGAAGCCAAUCAGAGAGGAAGCCAUGACUAAGCUCUAUUGCAGCACCUACCCUGCAGGCAUAGCCAUCGCAGACUUGGGUUGUUCUUCAGGACCAAACACCUUGUUUGUGGUAUCUGAACUUAUCAAACUGGUGGACAGUAUUCGCCAAAAGCUAGGCCAAAGAUCCACCGAGUAUCAAGUGUUUUUGAAUGACCUUCCAGGGAAUGACUUCAACACGAUUUUCAGGUCCUUACCCAGCUUCCAGAACAAACUGAAGAAACAACUUGGAGGUGGCAGCGGGCCAUGUUUUUUCAACGGUGUCCCUGGUUCUUUCUAUGGCAGGCUUUUCAGACACAAUAGUCUGCAUUUUGUACACUCUUCCUAUAGUCUUCACUGGCUCUCUCAGGUUUAGUAUCAGCAAAUUUCUGAAAUUAUUAAUGAAAAAUAUAGUAGCAGCAGAACGUAGUUUGCAAUUUAUGAGUGAACUAUUAUAUUCCGUUCAGGUUCCCGAAGGACUGGAAAGUAAUAAAGGCAACAUUUACAUUGCUAACACAAGCCCGCCAGACGUGCUUAAGGCAUAUUAUGAACAAUUCCAGCAAGAUUUUUCAUUGUUUUUGAAGUGUAGAUCAGAGGAACUGGUGGAGGGAGGGCGCAUGGUAUUGACAUUUUUGGGAAGGAGAAGCGAUGACCCUUCAAGCAAAGAGUGUUGUUACAUUUGGGAACUCUUGGCCAUGGCUCUCAAUGAUAUGGUCUUUGAGGUACAGAGUUACAUGGACAUAGAUCCUACUCAUGUAGGAAGAGUCCUUCUCCUUGAUAUAUAUGUCUCCACUCAUUUAUAUAUAACUAAAAAACUAAAUGAAAAGGGUAAAAUACCUCUAUUUUUUAAAUUUUAUUCGAAAUUUUAUAUAAAUUUAUUAAUUUUUGAAAUAGAUAUUUUAUUUUAAAAAUAUUUUUUACUGGACACAUAGGUCUAAUCGUUGAUUAACCAUUAAUAUGUCAGUUAAUUUGAUGAUAUUAUAAUAUUAAAAAAUAAUUUUAUUUUUUUUAUUUUAAAAAUUAUUAUUAUAUAAUUUUUUUUAAAAAAAUCAGGGACUCAUAAAAGAAGAGAAGUUGAACUCUUUCAACGUACCUAAUUACUUGCCAUCUCCUGCUGAGCUUAAAUCUGAGGUUCUGAAGGAAAGAUCCUUCACCGUCGAUCGUUUGGAGGUUACUGAAGUGAAUUGGAAUGCAUAUCAGAAUGAACCUGACCUGUCUGAUGCAUUCAAAGAUGGUGGCUACAAUUUUGCAAAGUGCAUAAGGGCUGUGACUGAGCCAUUGCUUGCCAGCCACUUUGGUGAAGCAAUC
This 14606-nucleotide long non-coding RNA is filed under the name Theobroma cacao (cacao). Its description in RNAcentral is "long non-coding RNA (TCAC_LNC000026)". Lineage: Eukaryota; Viridiplantae; Streptophyta; Magnoliopsida; Malvales; Malvaceae. The record is from RNAcentral.